Cataglyphis hispanica is the source of this 743-nucleotide long non-coding RNA. RefSeq lists it as uncharacterized. Lineage: Eukaryota; Metazoa; Arthropoda; Insecta; Hymenoptera; Formicidae. The record is from RefSeq and is a predicted model, not a curated record. The transcript is spliced from 2 exons.
GAUCUUACUCCGGAAAAAUACUUAAUGAAAGAAAAAAAAUAUUUAAUUAUAGAUUAUCUAAAGCAAGGCGUACUAUAGAAAAUACUUUGAUAUUUUAUCUUCACGAUGGAGAAUUUAUCGAAAGCCCAUUAAUAUGCAUCCGAAAUAUAUAGACAUGAUUGUCAUGGCGACUGUAUGUCUACAUAAUUUCAUAAAAUGUGAGGAAGAUCUUGUGGAAGCGAAGAACAGAAUAUACUGUCCUCCACAUUUUAUAGAUUCAGAGGACUCUGAAGGUAACAUCAUCCCCGGGGAAUGGCGACAAUAUACUGAAAAUGUACUGAGAGAUAUAUCUCCCACUUCAAAGCAUCAGGCAACUACAAUUGCAUACAAACAACGAGACAAACUGGCUGAUUAUUUUCUAACACAACCCGGCGAAGUUCCGUGGCAGUAUGAUUAUGUAAGAAGAGGACAACAUCGUGAUGAUUCAUAAUAAAAUACUAUUGAAAAUUAAAUAUAUAUAUUUAUGUAAACAUAUGCUUAUGUUAUAAUAAAACGAUUUAUUACAUUGCAUAAAAAAAAUAAAUAUAACAUUUUGUGUCACUCGUUAAAUAUUGCAUAAAAAAAAUAAACAUAACAUGUACCACUAAUUAUCACAUGUGUUGCAUUAAAAAUUAAUUUAUCUUAUCAGUAAUAAUUGCAUGUUACAUAAAAAUAAAAAAACGUAUCAUUAUCACAUGUUACAUAAAAAAAUAACUUAACAUGUA